AUCCAUCUGACGUGUCUCACAUAGGACGAAACGCGCGUCCUGGAU
Molecule: non-coding RNA, 45 nt
Filed under: Schistosoma curassoni
Lineage: Eukaryota; Metazoa; Platyhelminthes; Trematoda; Strigeidida; Schistosomatidae
Source: RNAcentral